GAUGAAGAACGCAGCGAAAUGCGAUAAGUAAUGUGAAUUGCAGAAUUCAGUGAAUCAUCGAAUCUUUGAACGCACCUUGCGCCCUUUGGCCAUUCCGAAGGGCAUGCCUGUUUGAGUAUCAUGAACACCUCAACUCUCAUGGCUCGCCAUGAUGAGCUUGGAUUUGGGGGUCUUGCUGGCCUGUGGUCGGCUCCUCUCAAAUGGAUCAGCUUGCCAGUGUUUGGUGGCAUCACAGGUGUGAUAACUAUCUGCGCUUGUGGUUUUCCAUCAGAUAACCUUCAGUGAUGGAGGUUCGCUGGAGCUCAUAAACGUCUCCCCUAAGCGGGGACAGCCCUUUGAAUGUUUGAUCACAAAUCAGGUAGGACUACCCGCUGAACUUAAGCAUAUCAAUAAGCGGAGGA
RNAcentral lists this unclassified non-coding RNA (401 nucleotides) under soil metagenome. RNAcentral's name for it is "partial contains 5.8S ribosomal RNA, internal transcribed spacer 2, and large subunit ribosomal RNA". The stretch from base 1 to 121 matches the Rfam family "5.8S ribosomal RNA", at positions 35 to 154 of the family's 154-position model. The record is from RNAcentral.